UACGUAGGGGGCUAGCGUUGUCCGGAAUCAUUGGGCGUAAAGCGCGCGUAGGCGGCCAGAUAAGUCCGGUGUGAAAGCCACAGGCUCAACCUGUGAAUGCCGCUGGAAACUGUCUGGCUAGAGUCCGGGAGGGGCGAGUGGAAUUCCUGGUGUAGCGGUGAAAUGCGCAGAUAUCAGGAAGAACACCCGUGGCGAAGGCGGUUCUCUGGGACGGUACUGACGCUGAGACGCGAAAGCGUGGGGAGCGAACAGG
This 253-nucleotide ribosomal RNA is filed under the name uncultured bacterium. RNAcentral describes it as "partial 16S ribosomal RNA". It matches the Rfam family "Bacterial small subunit ribosomal RNA", at positions 524 to 776 of the family's 1533-position model. The record is from RNAcentral.